UGCAAAACUCAGAUAUCUCCCCCUCUACUUAUGUGACUGCAGAGAGGAGGACAGAGGACAGAGGACACACAGUUUAACAUGAUGGACUAUAGGACAGGACUGCUGCUGCUCACUGUCUGCUGGGCAGGUGUUGGUGGUCAGACUCUGACAGAAUCUGAUUCAGUGACUAAAAGGCCUGGAGAAUCUCACAGAUUGACCUGUACAGCCUCUGGAUUCACAUUCAGUAACUACUACAUGGCCUGGGUCAGACAGGCUCCUGGGAAAGGACUGGAGUGGAUCGCUUCUUUCGACACUGGUAGCACCCCGUACUACUCUGAGUCAGUGAAAGGCCGGUUCACCAUCUCCAGAGACAACAGCAGACAGCAGGUGUAUCUGCAGAUGAACAGUCUGAAGGCCGAGGACACAGCAGUGUAUUACUGUGCCAGAAGAGACAGUGAGAGACAGUAACAGGAGAGUCGUACACAAACUACUUCCUCUAUUCAAUACCACCACUUGAACAUUAAAUAGAUCCUUAACUACA
This is a non-coding RNA of Trematomus bernacchii (emerald rockcod), 520 nucleotides long. Lineage: Eukaryota; Metazoa; Chordata; Actinopteri; Perciformes; Nototheniidae. The record is from the annotation of a RefSeq genome assembly.